GGCCGUAACUAGCCUCUUUUAAUAGUGAGGCAAAAUAUAUUCGAAAAAUUUUGGGCGAGGGGUCUGGGGGCUGCUAUUAAGGCCCCAGAGGCUCUGAGAAAAAUAACGCAAAAUCGUGCAUUCUGAGCGUUUCCCAGACUCUUUCUUGCAUUGAAACGGCUUAAUUAAUUUUUAGAUAUUUUUUUCGACAAUCAGGUCCCAAAGC
This 205-nucleotide long non-coding RNA is filed under the name Mytilus galloprovincialis (Mediterranean mussel). The record is from RNAcentral. Lineage: Eukaryota; Metazoa; Mollusca; Bivalvia; Mytilida; Mytilidae.